CCAUGUAACAGAGAAAAUUAGCAUAAAGUCCUUACGUAAGAAUGACUAUAUAGCAACCAAGAAGAAAAACAUUUUUUU
This is a non-coding RNA of Dictyostelium firmibasis, 78 nucleotides long. NCBI's taxonomy places the organism in Eukaryota, Evosea, Eumycetozoa, Dictyosteliales, Dictyosteliaceae. The record is from the annotation of a GenBank genome assembly.